GUCAUGGCUCAGUGGUACAGUGCUUGCCUCACAUGUGUGAGGCACUGGGUUUGAUUCUCAGCAUCACA
Molecule: transfer RNA, 68 nt
Filed under: Marmota monax (woodchuck)
Lineage: Eukaryota; Metazoa; Chordata; Mammalia; Rodentia; Sciuridae
Description: tRNA.Val
Source: RNAcentral